This 342-nucleotide unclassified non-coding RNA is filed under the name soil metagenome. Its description in RNAcentral is "partial contains 5.8S ribosomal RNA, internal transcribed spacer 2, and large subunit ribosomal RNA". The stretch from base 1 to 120 matches the Rfam family "5.8S ribosomal RNA", at positions 35 to 154 of the family's 154-position model. The record is from RNAcentral.
GAUGAAGAACGUAGCGAAAUGCGAUAAGUAGUGUGAAUUGCAGAAUUCAGUGAAUCAUCGAAUCUUUGAACGCACAUUGCGCCCUUUGGUAUUCCAAAGGGCAUGCCUGUUCGAGCGUCAUUUGUACCCUCAAGCUUUGCUUGGUGUUGGGCGUCUUGUCUCUAGCUUUGCUGGAGACUCGCCUUAAAGUAAUUGGCAGCCGGCCUACUGGUUUCGGAGCGCAGCACAAGUCGCACUCUCUAUCAGCAAAGGUCUAGCAUCCAUUAAGCCUUUUUUUUCAACUUUUGACCUCGGAUCAGGUAGGGAUACCCGCAGAACUUAAGCAUAUCAAUAAGCGGAGGA